This is a long non-coding RNA of Esox lucius (northern pike), 1068 nucleotides long. The record is from Ensembl. Lineage: Eukaryota; Metazoa; Chordata; Actinopteri; Esociformes; Esocidae.
CAAAUUAAAAUAAUAUACAAAGUAAUUGUAUAUUUAAAAUCCAAAUUCAAAUCCACAACAUAGUUCUCUGUUCAAAUUCUUUUGGACCUCACUGUAUGUAACAUAUACUGUAAUUGAUUAGGCCAUUCCCUUAGAAUACAUGGUCCUUAUCUUCCAUGUAAUGUACAAGUGCAUUGCCUUAUCACACCACCUUGGGCCACUCUAGUAAAAUAUUGACCUUUGUUUUGUCAGAAUCUUCCCUUUAUGUGUGAAGCAGAUAGAGGUCUAGGAUACUUUUUUAUUAAAAUGUCUCAAAACGGAAUCACUGUCUAUAUUUGGUUUAAGUUUAUGUGAAGAUCUACAAGGAACUAAAACGUUACCUUUGUUUUCAUCCCAUGGCUACAACAUUGACAGUGUGAAAUGUAUGAGUCUUGCAUCUCGCUCAGCUCAUAAUCUGGGGUGAUGCUCAGCAACAUAAUCUUGCUAAAUCUACCUCUGAAGUAAACGAUCUCUGCCAAGCAGUCCUGUCAUUAUGCUGCAUUCAAAAACCUUUUGGGUAAACAUGUUACGACAAGAAACUACUGGACUGUUUUAGGAAAUAAUUGUUUAUUUGCUUAUUUACAUGAAUGGUUUGGACCGUUCGACAGUUGAUUAAUCAAAGCAAGGAACUUGGGGUGGGACAAGGGAACGGUGGGUGGUUGGGCGGACAUUUCAGUUUCAGGGGAAGCUCAAGGGCAUAAUGGCUCGGUCUGACUUUGUGUCCAUACAAUUCCAAGCGUCCAAAAGCCACAACACCGAGCAGACAACAGGGGUGGGUGAAGCUGGGUGGGAAGAAAAGACACAGUGGUUCGCUGAUGGAUGGAAACGCUCACUUUCUGCCCAUUCGAGAGCAUGUGAGCGCAGUAAGUGUAGUGAGACGGGGGGGCCUGUCUACAGGUCCAAGGGAGGUGGAGAGAAGAUGGGAGGCUGCCGUUCAGCCUUGCCUACCCCGAGGACCCCCGUGCUUGCGACGGCAGGAUCCGAGCAGAGUCUCCAGAGCCAUCUUUACAAAUGCCUGGAAAUUAUUGCUUCUCUCCCUUCGGCUGUCCU